RNAcentral lists this transfer RNA (88 nucleotides) under bioreactor metagenome. RNAcentral describes it as "tRNA-Gly". The record is from RNAcentral.
CCCUGGGGUUGGUGCAGGUAUUCAGACACCGCGUUUUCCCACACCGGCAGAUCGCCGACCACACCCGUGCCGUGCCGGUCUUCGGGGA